CUUCACAUCCACGUAAUAGAUGCCAUCCACAAGGGGCCCAGCCCUGCCUCUGCUUCCCCAAGACGCAGACUGUGUCCUCUGGGAGACCAUCACGUUCCUUCGGGUGAAUGAAGCCUGUAGUGCUUCAUUUCCCGCAGCCAACAGCUGCUCUUCCGGCAUUCGUUCCACGGCUGUGUGUCACGUUCUCCUGCCCCAACUCAUUUCACCCUUCAUUAUCUGACUCUUUUCAAGGGUUAUUUUCAUCCAUGUGCUCAGCGUUUCUUUUUUAACCCCUCACCUUCCAUCUCAGAUCAGUCCUGUGUAUUGGUUACAGGGCAGGAGAGCGUUAAGGGAGAGGCAGUGGGGAUCAGGUGACUCGUCCAGGGUCACCCAGCUAUUAGGGUCUGAGGUCAGAUUUGAACCAGGACAUCCCAUCUCUAGGCCUGCCUCUCCAUCCACUGAGCCACCCAGCUGCCUCUGCUCUUUGUUUCUAAGGGCCCAGGAACAUUCCAUCUCCAUGAGACUCCUCGAUUUCUUCGGUCAUUCCCCAAUCUUUGGGCAUCCGUCCCCUCUGCCCUCGAUGCUUUUUCAUUUCGGGAAGCAGACUCAGCAAUAGUGUCUUUGGUCCCUUCAUCAAUCAGGGGGAGGCCCUAAUUCUCACCAACUAGACACACUUUCCUACUUCCCAGAGGCUGCCUAUCAACCUUCCCCCCAAUUUCCUGCUUUCCUGCUCAGACACUGGUGACCCCCUGGGCAAGUCCCUUACCUCAGUUUCCCUCAGUUCUCCAUCUGUAAAAUGAGCUGGAGAAAUGGCAAAGCAGUCCAGAAUGUCUGCCAGGAGAGCCCAAAGGGGGCCAGGAAGACUCUGAAUAGCUGAACAAAUAGAGCACCGACCACGAGGCAGGCACCAUGCAAAGGGCAUUUGACCCUCCCCAAUGCCCUAGGAGGACAUUUCUCCAAACCCUCCUUAUGUGGAGCACCAAGUACUGUGGUCUCUGCAGGAGACUCAGUGACCCUCCUGUGCCAGGCGUCACCCACCUAUCAUAACCCCAAAUUCACGUUCUCUCUGCUGAAGGCUGGGGUGCCCCAUCCCGUACAGCGCCAGAGCCCAGAAGGGCGUGAGGCCAACUUCACUCUCCCGUCUGUGAAGGCUGAGGAUGCUGGGAGCUACAGCUGCAUUGACUCACUGGAAGGGAGAGCAUCAUCUCCCAGUGACGCCCUGCACUUGGAGGUGACAGGUGGAAAGGACUCACAUCCCCCCAAGCCAGAGUCCCAAGACAGGCUGAACACUCACCGGGAGGCCAGGAUGGAGGCCCUCUGGGGUCCCUCCCACUCAGCUCCUGGCCCGGACACCAGGCUGGGGAGAUAGUCCUUAGCUCAACAUUACACCUUGGGCAACAUCGUCCGCAUAGCUCUGGCAGGGUUCGUCCUCAUCAUCCUGAGCGUCUUCCUGGCCGAGGCCUGGCACAGCCAAUGGGGGUCCUGAGAAGCAGCCCCAGGACCUCCCUGCCCAGGACAUGGGCCUGCCAGGAAAGCAGAGUCGGGGUCCGAGGAUUGGGUUGUUUGUUGUGGGGAGAGAUGGCGGGGGUGGGGGCCCCAGGGGAGCUGUGAAGGGUUUAUCCAAGCCAGUUUGUUGUCAUUCCUCACCUGAGGUUAGCAUCAAAGCAUUGCCUGAUGAUCUGUCUGUUGCUGGAUCUCCUCACUGUGAUAAGAGCCUCUAAAUACCUUCAGAGGUUGCUCUAGGGCUAAGUAGCUUAUCCUUGUUCAUUCACAUUUUCUCAGCCAUUGUGGCCAGUCCUGUGUUCCGGUCACAGCCAUAUGGAGCAAUAAUGGAGGCUCUUGUUAUGGGGUUGUAAUGUAAUGGGGUUGCACAAGUUGUCCUGGGAAAAUGUUGGUAUCUAACCAGAUCUUUAGUGUAACACUGAAAUAGUGGUUUAAAAAAGGAGGAGCAACUGAGUAGCUCAGUGGAUUGAGAGCCAAAUCUAGAGACGGAGGCCCUCAAUUCAAAUCUGGCCUCAGAUACUUCCCAGCUGUGUGACCCUAGGCAAGUCACUAAACCCCCAUUGCCUAGCCCUGACCAUUCUUCUGCCUUGUAACCAAUACACAGUAUUAAUUCCAAGACAGAAGGAGAGGGCUUAAAAAAAACUGAAGUGGUGUGGAAAUAUGUUUUUCCCUAAUAGCAGCACCAAUAGGUGGUUAGAUAAAGAAUGAGUGACCCCAAAAUGUGGGGAAAUUCGUUAAUAUGUAUAACAAUUCCCCCCCUGAGAUCCCAUGUUACAAUGGUAUCAAGAGAGGCUGAAAUUCAUUUUCACCUUUUAUGAGAUCAUAAAUAUCUAUGAAUGUAACAUGUAAUUGUGGGAAGCGUGUUG
This 2348-nucleotide long non-coding RNA is filed under the name Monodelphis domestica (gray short-tailed opossum). RNAcentral's name for it is "lncRNA (ENSMODG00000036019.2)". Lineage: Eukaryota; Metazoa; Chordata; Mammalia; Didelphimorphia; Didelphidae. The record is from RNAcentral.